Molecule: non-coding RNA, 71 nt
Organism: Saccostrea cuccullata (small rock oyster)
Lineage: Eukaryota; Metazoa; Mollusca; Bivalvia; Ostreida; Ostreidae
Source: the annotation of a RefSeq genome assembly
GGCCAGAUAGCUCAGUCAGUAGAGCACCUGACUCAGAUUCAGGGGCCUGGGUUCAUAUCCCGGUCUGGUCU